RNAcentral lists this ribosomal RNA (579 nucleotides) under uncultured bacterium. RNAcentral's name for it is "bacterial SSU rRNA". It matches the Rfam family "Bacterial small subunit ribosomal RNA", at positions 338 to 916 of the family's 1533-position model. The record is from RNAcentral.
CCUACGGGAGGCAGCAGUAAGGAAUAUUGGUCAAUGGGCGGAAGCCUGAACCAGCCAUGCCGCGUGCAGGAAGACGGCCCUACGGGUUGUAAACUGCUUUUGUACCGGAAUAAACCUUGAUAUGUAUAUCAAGCUGAAUGUACGGUAAGAAUAAGGAUCGGCUAACUCCGUGCCAGCAGCCGCGGUAAUACGGAGGAUCCAAGCGUUAUCCGGAUUUAUUGGGUUUAAAGGGUGCGUAGGUGGCUUAUUAAGUCAGGGGUGAAAGACGGUAGCUUAACUAUCGCAGUGCCUUUGAUACUGAUGAGCUUGAAUCCACUAGAGGUAGGCGGAAUGUGACAAGUAGCGGUGAAAUGCAUAGAUAUGUCACAGAACACCAAUUGCGAAGGCAGCUUACUAUGGUGGUAUUGACACUGAGGCACGAAAGCGUGGGGAUCAAACAGGAUUAGAUACCCUGGUAGUCCACGCCCUAAACGAUGAAUACUCGAUGUUGGCGAUAUACGGUCAGCGUCUAAGCGAAAGCGUUAAGUAUUCCACCUGGGGAGUACGCCCGCAAGGGUGAAACGUCAAAGGAAUUGACGG